Molecule: ribosomal RNA, 702 nt
Filed under: uncultured fungus
Lineage: Eukaryota; Fungi
Description: SSU rRNA
Rfam family: Eukaryotic small subunit ribosomal RNA
Source: RNAcentral
GGGAGCCUGAGAAACGGCUACCACAUCCAAGGAUGGCAGCAGGCGCGCAAAUUACCCAAUCCCGACACGGGGAGGUAGUGACAAUAAAUAACAAUACGGGGUUCUUUAGGAUCUCGUAAUUGGAAUGAGUACAAUUUAAAUCUCUUAACGAGGAACAAUUGGAGGGCAAGUCUGGUGCCAGCAGCCGCGGUAAUUCCAGCUCCAAUAGCGUAUAUUAAAGUUGUUGCAGUUGAAAAGCUCGUAGUUGAAUUUCGGGGUUAGUAGGUUGGUCAUGCCUCUGGUAUGUACUGAUCUCACUGAUUCCUCCUUCCUUAUGAACCGUAAUGCCAUUAAUUUGGUGUUGCGGGGAAUUUGGACUGUUACUUUGAAAAAAUUAGAGUGUUUAAAGCAGGCUAACGCUUGAAUACAUUAGCAUGGAAUAAUGAAAUAGGACGUUCGAUCUUAUUUUGUUGGUUUCUAGGAUUGACGUAAUGAUUAAUAGGGAUAGUUGGGGGCAUUAGUAUUCAAUUGUCAGAGGUGAAAUUCUUGGAUUUAUUGAAGACUAACUACUGCGAAAGCAUUUGCCAAGGAUGUUUUCAUUAAUCAAGAACGAAAGUUAGGGGAUCGAAGACGAUCAGAUACCGUCGUAGUCUUAACCAUAAACUAUGCCGACUAGGAAUCGGACGAUGUUAAUUUUAUAAUGACUCAUUCGGCGCCUUACGG